RNAcentral lists this long non-coding RNA (1315 nucleotides) under Gallus gallus (chicken). RNAcentral describes it as "lncRNA (ENSGALG00010001055.1)". The record is from RNAcentral. Lineage: Eukaryota; Metazoa; Chordata; Aves; Galliformes; Phasianidae.
AUGCAUUGUUGCUCCUGUACCAAAGUGUUAUUGAAUAGAGUAAUGUGGCACUUGAAAACAUGGUAGUUUGCAGUUACUCAGUACUACGCAUACGUACAUGUUCACCCAGUUGUGUAAAUAAUGCCAGAAGUUUUAUUACGUGCAAAGAACUGUUACUGAGACCUCAGCUCUUGAGAAUCAACUGCCAUUCUAACAUCUUCCUACAACACUGAAAUCCCAGUUUUCUGAAGUGAAAUAUGCUAAGCAUUUCUCCAAGUGGUGGUUGCAUGAGGCAAGACAGGAGGAUGAACAAACUGAAGUACAAAAGAACAAAGCAGUGCACCCACAAACACCACCAGGCACCUGGCGAAACUAGAAAUAGAUUAAAUAUUUCUGGAGUACUAGUGCAGCACUCUGCUCAUUAGCAAGGCAGUCUACUUUCCCAUGAGGCAUCUCAAAAUUGCCCUAUGACUACUGUUUGGUUUUAACUCCUCCCUUGGAUAGGUCACAAGGACAAGUGACUUGGGUUGUGCCAAGACCUGAAAUGGGAGACUGGUGUAAAUGGCAGAUAGCCAGCAGCAAGGAGACAUCUGGGAUAAGACAAGGCGCUAAGGUUCUGUUGAGUGAAUGAGUGACUGGGUAGGAACUUGGCUGGUAACCGAGGCAAAUCCACCAUAAGCCACUAUCUGCAUAGCCCACUGUCAAAACUCAGGGCUGCUUGUGAGAUUCUUUCAUAUGCUCUGCAACCAUGCCACUGGCUAUUUGAAUCUGUGGACAACUGUGAUAGCCCCCUCAGAAAAGAAAACUAAAAUAGACCUCUGCUCCUUGGGGAGCUGAUAGCCAGUACCUGCUCAACUGGAAAGAAAACAAUUUUGGAAAAGCAGUCUUGUGGUAAGUGAGUCCAUGCUGGAGGACAGAUGGACUAUGCAAUCAUGAGCCAGAACUUUUAAUAAAUUCUGUAAUGUUUAAGAAUUUCUGUACAUUUUUUAACAUGUCAAAUUAAAGCCAUUGUCUUCACAGAAAAUUAUCAGAGUAAAGCAUAUUCUUCCCAGAACGUAUGCAUUGGAGAUAGUGUUUCCUGAAAGAGUAUGUUCAACAAUAAUUACCAAAAGCAUAAUUCCCUGCUUUCUUGGAACAAGACAGUGCUGGAAAGAAACCAGUGUGGCCUCAACAUUCCUGGUACAUCCCAUUUUCAUUCUGAAAAUUUCUGCCAUUAGUUAGAUUAUACAGCUUCUUAGUAUACAUAAAUGCUUAUUUGCAACCUGUUGUCAAUAAAAUAAGUCAAGCACUCUUUUCACAUAUUACACUUUGUACUAGAGAAGAUAUACAAAGCAGG